CAGAGCCACGGUAAUACGUAGGUGGCAAGCGUUGUCCGGAAUUAUUGGGCGUAAAGGGCUCGCAGGCGGUUUCUUAAGUCUGAUGUGAAAGCCCCCGGCUCAACCGGGGAGGGUCAUUGGAAACUGGGAAACUUGAGUGCAGAAGAGGAGAGUGGAAUUCCACGUGUAGCGGUGAAAUGCGUAGAGAUGUGGAGGAACACCAGUGGCGAAGGCGACUCUCUGGUCUGUAACUGACGCUGAGGAGCGAAAGCGUGGGGAGCGAACAGGAUUAGAUACCCCGGUAGUCCCUGUCUCUUAUACU
This 301-nucleotide ribosomal RNA is filed under the name uncultured bacterium. RNAcentral's name for it is "partial 16S ribosomal RNA". It matches the Rfam family "Bacterial small subunit ribosomal RNA", at positions 509 to 810 of the family's 1533-position model. The record is from RNAcentral.